This is a non-coding RNA of Cyanistes caeruleus (blue tit), 239 nucleotides long. NCBI's taxonomy places the organism in Eukaryota, Metazoa, Chordata, Aves, Passeriformes, Paridae. The record is from RefSeq and is a predicted model, not a curated record.
GGUUUUUUGGGGUCCCCAUGACCCCUUGGUGCCCCCCAGGACGACGGUGACGGAGGAGUACCGGGUCCCUGACGGGAUGGUCGGCCUCAUCAUCGGCCGUGGCGGGGAGCAGAUCAAUAAGAUCCAGCAGGACUCGGGGUGCAAAGUGCAGAUCUCCCCAGACAGCGGCGGGUUACCGGAGCGCAGCGUGUCCCUGACGGGGUCCCCGGAGUCCGUGCAGUGAGUGACCCCAAAACCUC